Molecule: ribosomal RNA, 498 nt
Filed under: uncultured bacterium
Lineage: Bacteria
Description: partial 16S ribosomal RNA
Rfam family: Bacterial small subunit ribosomal RNA
Source: RNAcentral
GACGAACGCUGGCGGCGUGCCUAAUACAUGCAAGUCGAGCGGACGGAUGGGAGCUUGCUCCCAGACCGUCAGCGGCGGACGGGUGAGUAACACGUGGGCAACCUGCCUGUAAGACUGGGAUAACUCCGGGAAACCGGGGCUAAUACCGGAUAACUCUUUCCCUCACAUGAGGGAAAGCUGAAAGAUGGCAUCUCGCUAUCACUUACAGAUGGGCCCGCGGCGCAUUAGCUAGUUGGUGAGGUAACGGCUCACCAAGGCGACGAUGCGUAGCCGACCUGAGAGGGGGAUCGGCCACACUGGGACUGAGACACGGCCCAGACUCCUACGGGAGGCAGCAGUAGGGAAUCUUCCGCAAAGGACGAAAGUCUGACGGAGCAACGCCGCGUGAGUGAUGAAGGUUUUCGGAUCGUAAAACUCUGUUGUCAGGGAAGAACAAGUACCGGAGUAACUGCCGGUACCUUGACGGUACCUGACCAGAAAGCCACGGCUAACUACGUG